AAGUGUAACCAUGAGCUUUGUUUGUUCUUGUACUCUUUGUAUGUUCCUGGUCGCCACCACCGACUGCGAGCGGGGGUCCUGGUCCUCUCCCUCGUCGUCCUCGGCGGCGGCAUCGCGGCUUGGCGCCAUCGCCGUGCCCUGCGUCAACGUCACGAUCAGCUUCCCGGAUCACCGUCUUCACGAGGUUGGUCGAAGAGGGCUGGAGUUCAUGCUGUUCCUGCUGUCCCUGUUCGUGUUCCUCUUCGGUACCUCCUAGUUCAUCUUCGACCUCAUCCUGGGCGACGGCCGAAGGCAUGAUGAUAGUUCUAUUGCUGUCCUAGUGUAGCGAAGGUAGCCUAGUCGACU
Triticum aestivum (bread wheat) is the source of this 345-nucleotide long non-coding RNA. RefSeq lists it as uncharacterized. Lineage: Eukaryota; Viridiplantae; Streptophyta; Magnoliopsida; Poales; Poaceae. The record is from RefSeq and is a predicted model, not a curated record. The transcript has 3 exons.